AGUGAACGCUGGCGGUAGGCCUAACACAUGCAAGUCGAACGGCAGCACAGAGGAGCUUGCUCCUUGGGUGGCGAGUGGCGGACGGGUGAGGAAUACAUCGGAAUCUACUCUGUCGUGGGGGAUAACGUAGGGAAACUUACGCUAAUACCGCAUACGACCUACGGGUGAAAGCAGGGGAUCUUCGGACCUUGCGCGAUUGAAUGAGCCGAUGUCGGAUUAGCUAGUUGGCGGGGUAAAGGCCCACCAAGGCGACGAUCCGUAGCUGGUCUGAGAGGAUGAUCAGCCAGACUGGAACUGAGACACGGUCCAGACUCCUACGGGAGGCAGCAGUGGGGAGUAUUGGACAAUGGGCGCAAGCCUGAUUCAGCCAUACCGCGUGGGUGAAGAAGGCCUUCGGGUUGUAAAGCCCUGUUGUUGGGAAAGAAAUCCAGCUGGCUAAUACCCGGUUGGGAUGACGGUACCCAAAGAAUAAGCACCGGCUAACUUCGUGCCAGCCGCCGCAGUAA
Molecule: ribosomal RNA, 506 nt
Filed under: uncultured bacterium
Lineage: Bacteria
Description: partial 16S ribosomal RNA
Rfam family: Bacterial small subunit ribosomal RNA
Source: RNAcentral